Dreissena polymorpha is the source of this 477-nucleotide long non-coding RNA. RefSeq lists it as uncharacterized. The transcript is spliced from 3 exons. Lineage: Eukaryota; Metazoa; Mollusca; Bivalvia; Myida; Dreissenidae. The record is from RefSeq and is a predicted model, not a curated record.
CAAACAGAAGAGUUCAUUAGUUUUUCCAUUAAAAACACUUUCUUAAAAUACUUAUGUAUUUAUAUCAUUUGGAAAGUGACAUGAAAUAUUGCUAAAGAGUGAUGCAUACAGUGUUUGAGCAGUCUGUCUAGGAAUAGAACAACAACUGAAGUUGAUGGAAGAUACUGCAGAGUUUGGCAGGGAAAUAAUCCAACAGCAAAGCGGCUCUUUAAGCGCAUUUACCUAGAGGACUUACAGGGCCACAAAUUCAUGAGCACAUGUGAGCAGUAUACAAUGUACCUCAUACCAAAAAGGACCCGGAGGCAGUGACUGGUGUUCAAUAUUCUCAGAAGAAAAGGAAAAUGGCAGUGGAAGACUUGGACAAACAUUUUUAAAAACUAGCCUCUGUGUUAAGCCUGGCAGUCUGUGGCUGGUGACAUGUUUUAUUUUGGUUACUUCUUGUAUAAAAAAGACCAGUUAUUUAUUUUGUGAAUUGUA